GUGGGGAAUAUUGGACAAUGGGCGAAAGCCUGAUCCAGCCAUGCCGCGUGUGUGAAGAAGGUCUUCGGAUUGUAAAGCACUUUAAGUUGGGAGGAAGGGCAGUAAGUUAAUACCUUGCUGUUUUGACGUUACCGACAGAAUAAGCACCGGCUAACUUCGUGCCAGCAGCCGCGGUAAUACGAAGGGUGCAAGCGUUAAUCGGAAUUACUGGGCGUAAAGCGCGCGUAGGUGGUUUUGUAAGUUGGAGGUGAAAUCCCCGGGCUCAACCUGGGAACUGCCUCCAAAACUGCAGGACGAGAGUACGGUAGAGGGUAGUGGAAUUUCCUGUGUAGCGGUGAAAUGCGUAGAUAUAGGAAGGAACACCAGUGGCGAAGGCGACUACCUGGACUGAUACUGACACUGAGGUGCGAAAGCGUGGGGAGCAAACAGGAUUAGAUACCCGAGUAGUCC
RNAcentral lists this ribosomal RNA (450 nucleotides) under uncultured bacterium. RNAcentral describes it as "partial 16S ribosomal RNA". It matches the Rfam family "Bacterial small subunit ribosomal RNA", at positions 354 to 796 of the family's 1533-position model. The record is from RNAcentral.